CUGAACCAGCCAUGCCGCGUGCAGGAUGAAGGCCUUCUGGGUUGUAAACUGCUUUUAUCUAGGAAAAAAACGCCCAUGCGUGGGAAACUGACGGUACUAGAUGAAUAAGCACCGGCUAACUCCGUGCCAGCAGCCGCGGUAAUACGGAGGGUGCAAGCGUUGUCCGGAUUUAUUGGGUUUAAAGGGUGCGUAGGCGGCCCGUUAAGUCCGUGGUGAAAGCCUCCAGCUCAACUGGAGAACUGCCAUGGAUACUGGCGGGCUUGAGUACAGACGAGGUUGGCGGAAUUGAUUGUGUAGCGGUGAAAUGCAUAGAUACAAUCAAGAACUCCGAUUGCGUAGGCAGCUAACUAGGCUGUAACUGACGCUGAGGCACGAAAGCGUGGGGAGCGAACAGGAUUAGAUACCCUGGUAGUCCACGCUGUAAACGAUGAUUACUCGAUGUUGGCGAUAAACUGUCAGCGUCUUAGCGAAAGCGUUAAGUAAUCCACCUGGGGAGUACGCCCGCAAGGGUGAAACUCAAAGGAAUUGACGG
Molecule: ribosomal RNA, 532 nt
Filed under: uncultured Adhaeribacter sp.
Lineage: Bacteria; Pseudomonadati; Bacteroidota; Cytophagia; Cytophagales; Hymenobacteraceae
Description: bacterial SSU rRNA
Rfam family: Bacterial small subunit ribosomal RNA
Source: RNAcentral